RNAcentral lists this ribosomal RNA (2133 nucleotides) under Triticum aestivum (bread wheat). Its description in RNAcentral is "partial small subunit ribosomal RNA". The record is from RNAcentral. Lineage: Eukaryota; Viridiplantae; Streptophyta; Magnoliopsida; Poales; Poaceae.
AUGGAGAUGAAACCCAAAAGAUUUUCGUUGGGGCGUAACCCUCUCAGCGACGCGCCACAUCGGAACCCGGGUGUGGUGGAAAAUGGGCAAGGGCCGGGCCGUCACCCCCCAAGUGGCGCGCCGUAUCUUGAUCCGGAUACGGUGGCAAGUGAGCGAGGAUCGGGUCGUCGCAUCCUUAGUGGCGCGCUACAUCGGCGCCCGGAUGUAGUGGAAAAUGAGCAAGGGUCUUCGCAUUUGACUCGACGAGUGCGAAGGGUAAGGAAGCUAGCCGAGCCUAGGAGGAUUCGCUUAGGUAGCUGGAACGUAGGGUCUCUGACAGGGAAGCUUCGGGAGCUAGUUGAUGCAGCAGUGAGGAGAGGUGUUGAUAUCCUUUGCGUCCAAGAAACUAAAUGGAGAGGACAGAAGGCGAAGGAGGUGGAGGAUACCGGCUUCAAGCUGUGGUACACGGGGACGGCUGCAAACAGAAAUAGCGUAGGCAUCUUGAUCAACAAGAGCCUCAAGUAUGGAGUGGUAGACGUCAGGAGACGUGGGGACCGGAUUAUCCUGGUCAAGCUGGUAGCUGAGGACUUGGUUCUCAAUGUUAUCAGCGCAUAUGCCCCGCAAGUAGGCCACAAUGAGAACACCAAGAGGGAGUUCUGGGAAGGCUUGGAAGACAUGGUUAGGAGUGUACCGAUUGGUGAGAAGCUCUUCAUAGGAGGAGACCUCAAUGGCCACGUGGGUACAUCUAACACAGGUUUUGAAGGGGCGCAUGGGGGCUUUGGCUAUGGCAUCAGGAAUCAAGAAGGAGAAGAUGUCUUAAGCUUUGCUCUAGCCUACAACAUGAUUGUAGCUAACACCCUCUUUAGAAAGAGAGAAUCACAUCUGGUGACUUUUAGUAGUGGCCAACACUCUAGCCAGAUUGAUUUCAUCCUCUCGAGAAGAGAAGAUAGGCGUGCGUGCCUAGACUGUAAGGUGAUACCUGGGGAGAGUGUUGUACCCCAGCAUAAGCCGGUGGUUGCUGACUUCCGCUUUCGGAUUCGUGUCCAGCGGGAUAAGCGUGCCAAGGUCGCUAGAACGAAGUGGUGGAAGCUCAAGGGGGAGGUAGCUCAGGUGUUCAAGGAGAGGGUAUUUAAGGAGGGCCCUUGGGAGGAAGGAGGGGAUGCGGACAAUGUGUGGAUGAAGAUGGCGACUUGCAUUCGUAAGGUGGCCUCGGAGGAGUUUGGAGUGUCCAGGGGAAGGAGAAGCGAAGAUAACGAUACCUGGUGGUGGAAUGAUGAUGUCCAGAAGGCGCUUAAAGAGAAGAAAGAUUGCUUCAGACGCCUAUACCUGGAUAGGAGUGCAGACAACAUAAAGAAGUACAAGAUGGCGAAGAAGGCCGCAAAGCGAGCUGUUGGUGAAGCAAGGGGUCGGGCAUAUGAGGACCUCUACCAACGGUUAGGCACGAAGGAAGGUGAAAGGGACAUCUAUAAGAUGGCUAAGAUCCGGGAGAGGAAGAUGAGGGAUAUUGGCCAAGUCAAAUGCAUCAAGGACGGAGCAGGCCAACUCUUGGUGAAGGACGAAGAGAUUAAGCAUAGAUGGCGGGAGUACUUCGACAAGCUGUUCAAUGGGGAGAAUGAGAGUUCUACCAUUGAACUGAAUGACUCCUUUGAUGAGACCAGCAUGCGUUUUGUGCGGCGCAUCCAGGAGUCUGAGGUGAAGGAGGCUUUAAAAAGGAUGAAAGGAGGCAAGGCGAUGGGCCCUGAUUGUAUCCCCAUUGAGGUGUGGAAAGGUCUCGGGGACGUAGCGGUAGUAUGGCUAACCAAGCUUUUCAACCUCAUUUUUCGGGCAAACAAGAUGCCAGAAGAAUGGAGACGGAGUAUAUUAGUACCAAUCUUCAAGAACAAGGGGGAUGUUCAGAGUUGUACUAAUUACCGUGGAAUUAAGCUGAUGAGCCAUACAAUGAAGCUAUGGGAGAGAGUCAUUGAGCACCGCUUAAGAAGAAUGACAAGCGUGACCAAAAAUCAGUUUGGUUUCAUGCCUGGGAGGUUGACCAUGGAAGCCAUUUUCUUGGUACGACAACUUAUGAAGAGAUAUAGGGAGCAUAAGAAGGACUUGCAUAUGGUGUUCAUUGACUUGGAGAAGGCCUAUGAUAAGAUACCGCGGAAUGUCAUGUAG